This is an RNA transcript of Austrofundulus limnaeus, 2194 nucleotides long. It is a transcript of the gene named HDGF like 3, with no coding region annotated. The transcript has 7 exons. Lineage: Eukaryota; Metazoa; Chordata; Actinopteri; Cyprinodontiformes; Rivulidae. The record is from RefSeq and is a predicted model, not a curated record.
CCCCUAUUUUCCGCGCUUUUUUUAUUAUUAAUUUUUUUUUUUCGUGUAAAUUGCAGUGUUGAUAUAAAAACGCUGGUGGUCGAUAUUUUAGCCCUGUAUUCAGGGGCCCUGAGGGGAAAAUCCGCUGAAGAUUACGAAAAACACUAUCCCAUCACAUCACGCAGUGUUUAUCAUGGCUCGACCACGGCCGCGGGAGUACAAGGCGGGGGACCUGGUUUUCGCUAAGAUGAAAGGAUACCCGCACUGGCCGGCGCGGAUUGAUGAGCUUCCAGAAGGAGCUGUCAAACCGCCUGCCAACAAGUACCCAAUCUUCUUCUUUGGGACUCAUGAAACUGCAUUCUUGGGUCCAAAGGAUCUUCUGCCCUAUAAAGAGUAUAAAGACAAAUUUGGUAAAUCUAACAAGAGGAAAGGUUUCAACGAAGGCCUCUGGGAGAUCGAGAACAACCCCGGAGUCAAGUUCACCGGUUAUCGGGCGAUCCAGCAACAAAGCUCAUCAGAAACAGAGGUGGAGAGAAACACUGCUGACGGCAGCAGUGAGGGGGAGGAAGGCGACUCCAUCAAGGAGGAAGAUGACAAGGAGAAGCUGAAGGGAGACAAGACGGGAUCUAAGCGGAAAAAAACAGCCACAACUAAGGUGACCGUUUUACUACAGCAGAAAUCCUCAAAACUGCUGAGGAUUUCCGCCGCAGAGGAUGACCUGGAAAAGGAUGGGAAAGAUGACGACCAGAAGAGCAGCUCAGAGGGAGGAGACCAAGACAAUGACUUCAUUCAGAACACCACUGACAGUAAGAACCAGCUGCUCAUGGAAGAACAUUAAAUAAAAAAGAGCGAUGGGAACUCGCUCCUUGUGACAGCGGGGAAAGUGAAUCCAUGACACGGUUUCUCGUCUGCACCAUCUACUGGCUGCCAUCUUCACCUCCACCUCUGCUGGAUGUCCGCCGCGUCUGUAAGGAGGACACGUUCUCACUGAUCAAUCAUCAUGUGGAUUCUUGUAGCACUUAUCAAAGAGAUGUUUGCAGUGCUUCAGCUGAUUGAUCACAUCAAUGCCACAUUGGUGACUCAGWUCUUUUUAUGAUUUUACAAGUUUGAAGUUAUGAAUGUAACCGAAUAUAAGCSAAGCUACAAGGUUACAACCCUGUAUCCAUAACUUAUUAUAGGGGGGUUUGUUACUAUGUGAAAUCUGUGUCACAAAAUAUACAGUAUUGGUGCAUUGAUAUAGAAAAACCCUGUCACAUUUUAACCAGAUAAAAAAAAGGUUGGAGUGGCUGUUAUUCUUCCCGUGUGCAUCGUAGUCACAUACUGUAUAUAGCUACCAAACCAUAUUUAUACUGGUUGUCCAUAACUAUGUAUUAAUCAUAUUCAUCAUAUACAUUUCAUCUAUAAGUCUGUGACAAAUGUAGGGUAUUGCAGUGUACUGUUCACUCUAGUUAUAGUUUAUAAUCAUUUUUAUAAUAAGAAUAAUUAUAAAGGUUAAUGUGGAAUAUUCCAAAACUCUCAAUAUCUCUUAUGUAACCAGAAAAAAAGAUGAACGGAGAAAAAUAUAGGUAAUUAUAUGGAGUGUUGUGCACAGCUGGGUUACGCAUUGUAACUUUUAAUUAGAUCUGAAUAUUUUGCCUUUGUUGUAGAUUUUAGACCAACUAUUUUAGUUGGACCACUCUAAAUGCCAUUUUUUUAAAUGAAAAAGUAAUCUAUCUGUUCCUAUGUGUGUCUGUGAUAUAGCUCGAUGUACAUUUCAAAGCAUUUUAUAGUGGCAUGCAGUUGUACUUCAUAUUUUUUUAUGAAAGUGUUUGAUUUUUAGUAUGAYAAAUCACAUGUUUGUUUGGUAUGCUGUGGAAAAUACGACUUUCGCCUUGUACCAAUGUCAGACUAAAUAUGAAAAGUGACACCACUUCCAUUUUCUAAAGAAUCGCAGUUUGAAGAUGGGUUUCAUCUGAAACUUUGUAGACAAAAUAUGGUGCUGUGUACUUGUUUAUUUACAAAUUGCCAAACAUAUUGUUUCAAGUUUAGAGGUUUAAAUUAUUUAUUUUUUUAAUAAUGAUUGCUAUGUAUUCUUUAUGUGAACUUUUUUCCUUCCAAAUAUUGGUUUUCUUUGUAGUUGGAACAUAUUUGACAUUUACAAAGUUUGUAAUUUACUGUAAACUGUUUUCACUGUUUAAGUAAGACUUUUGCAAAAUAAACUCAUUGGAAUGCGCAA